Long non-coding RNA from Labeo rohita (rohu), 294 nucleotides. RefSeq lists it as uncharacterized. NCBI's taxonomy places the organism in Eukaryota, Metazoa, Chordata, Actinopteri, Cypriniformes, Cyprinidae. The record is from RefSeq and is a predicted model, not a curated record. The transcript has 3 exons.
CACGGUAAAUAGCUUGUAACAGACAGUUCUGUCAUAUACUGUAGUAUAUUAUAAUUCAUCUUAUAUAGCUGAAACAGCAUUCAGCCUACAGAUACAGCCUGUUUCCUCAUGACAGUGAGCAGGAAGCUACCAGUCAGCUGAAACAGCAAACAGCAUAUUUCAGUGCUGGAAUGGAAUAUUAUUAUGGUGAAUCCCCGUCAUCAGAUACGCUAUCACAUGAGGCCUUGCAGAUGGGUGUGAAGGGAGAGGCGCUGGAGUUAGAGGAAAUAAGGCCACAGAUGGAGGCAGCAAAAG